RNAcentral lists this ribosomal RNA (153 nucleotides) under Rhodococcus sp. UZN5. Its description in RNAcentral is "partial 16S ribosomal RNA". It matches the Rfam family "Bacterial small subunit ribosomal RNA", at positions 355 to 525 of the family's 1533-position model. Lineage: Bacteria; Bacillati; Actinomycetota; Actinomycetes; Mycobacteriales; Nocardiaceae. The record is from RNAcentral.
UUUUGAUUUGCCAUGGGCGAAGCCUGAUGCAGCGACGCCGCGUGAGGGAUGACGGCCUUCGGGUUGUAAACCUCUUUCAGCAGGGACGAAGCGCAAGUGACGGUACCUGCAGAAGAAGCACCGGCUAACUACGUGCCAGCAGCCGCGGUAAUA